Non-coding RNA from Pelobates cultripes (western spadefoot toad), 213 nucleotides. Lineage: Eukaryota; Metazoa; Chordata; Amphibia; Anura; Pelobatidae. The record is from the annotation of a GenBank genome assembly.
UCAGACUCUCCCCUAGUCUUCAAUCCUUUAAGAAGUGCCUUUAGGAAAGCUUAUGGCCUCCCAGAGUAACCUCUACCUCACAUACCUGUCUCUUGCUCUCUCCUAUAGGGCAGUGCUUUACUCUCUCCUCCAGCUCUGCUUCACUCCCACCCUAUUUGAUUGAUAUUUCCUGUCCUAACGUGUCUUAUACCCCACCUCCUAUAGACUGUAAGC